UUUUAACGGAGAGUUUGAUCCUGGCUCAGGACGAACGCUGGCGGCGUGCCUAAUACAUGCAAGUCGAGCGGACAGAAGGGAGCUUGCUCCCGGACGUUAGCGGCGGACGGGUGAGUAACACGUGGGCAACCUGCCCCUUAGACUGGGAUAACUCCGGGAAACCGGAGCUAAUACCGGAUAAUCCCUUUCUCCACCUGGAGAGAGGGUGAAAGAUGGCUUCGGCUA
Molecule: ribosomal RNA, 225 nt
Filed under: Shouchella rhizosphaerae
Lineage: Bacteria; Bacillati; Bacillota; Bacilli; Caryophanales; Bacillaceae
Description: Bacillus rhizosphaerae partial 16S rRNA. Bacterial SSU
Rfam family: Bacterial small subunit ribosomal RNA
Source: RNAcentral